This 426-nucleotide ribosomal RNA is filed under the name uncultured beta proteobacterium. RNAcentral's name for it is "bacterial SSU rRNA". It matches the Rfam family "Bacterial small subunit ribosomal RNA", at positions 9 to 448 of the family's 1533-position model. Lineage: Bacteria; Pseudomonadati; Pseudomonadota; Betaproteobacteria. The record is from RNAcentral.
GAGUUUGAUUCGGCUCAGAUUGAACGCUGGCGGCAUGCUUUACACAUGCAAGUCGAACGGGGUUGGAGCUGCUCCAAUCUAGUGGCGAACGGGUGAGUAAUAUAUCGGAACAUGUCCGGAAGUGGGGGAAACGUAGCGAAAGUUACGCUAAUACCGCAUAUGCCCUGAGGGGGAAAGGAGGGGAUCGUAGACCUUUCGCUUUCGGAGUGGCCGAUAUCAGAUUAGCUAGUUGGUGAGGUAAUGGCUCCCAAGGCGACGAUCAGUAGCUGGUUUGAGAGGACGACCAGCCACACUGGGACUGAGACAGGCCCAGACUCCUACGGGAGGCAGCAGUGGGGAAUUUUCCGCAAUGGGCGAAAGCCUGAGGAGCAAUACCGCGUGAGGGAUGAAAGCCUGUGGGUUGUAAACCUCUUUUCUCAAGGAAAA